Molecule: ribosomal RNA, 466 nt
Filed under: uncultured bacterium
Lineage: Bacteria
Description: partial 16S ribosomal RNA
Rfam family: Bacterial small subunit ribosomal RNA
Source: RNAcentral
GACGAACGCUGGCGGCGUGCUUAACACAUGCAAGUCGAACGGUAAGGCUCCAGCUUGCUGGGGUACACGAUUGGCGAACGGGUGAGUAACACGUGGGUGACCUGCCCUGCACUUCGGGAUAAGCCUGGGAAACUGGGUCUAAUACCGGAUAGGAUCAUUUUGUGGAUACUGUGGUGGAAAGUUUUUUCGGUGUGGGAUGAGCUCUCGGACUAUCAGCUUGUAGGUGGGGUAAUGGCCUACCAAGGCGGAGACGGGUAGCCGGCCUGAGAGGGUGGACGGCCACAUCGGGACUGAGAUACGGCACAGACUCCUACGGGAGGCAGCAGUGGGGAAUAUUGCGCAAUAGGGCGAAGGCUGAUGCAGCGACGCCGCGUGGGGGAUGCCGGCCUUCGAGUUGUAAACUAAUUUCACCAUAGACGAAGGGUUUCUGACGGUAGAUGGUGAAGAAGCAACGGCUAACUACGUG